RNAcentral lists this ribosomal RNA (428 nucleotides) under uncultured bacterium. RNAcentral's name for it is "bacterial SSU rRNA". It matches the Rfam family "Bacterial small subunit ribosomal RNA", at positions 354 to 796 of the family's 1533-position model. The record is from RNAcentral.
GUGGGGAAUAUUGGACAAUGGGGGCAACCCUGAUCCAGCGACGCCGCGUGAGUGAUGAAGGCCUUCGGGUCGUAAAGCUCUGUUGCAGGGGAAGAACACAAUGACGGUACCCUGCUAGAAAGGAUCGGCUAACUUCGUGCCAGCAGCCGCGGUAAGACGAGGGAUCCUAGCGUUGUUCGGAAUUAUUGGGCGUAAAGCGGGUGCAGGUGGCUUGGUAAGUCAGAUGUGAAAGCCUGGGGCUUAACCCCAGAAGUGCAUUUGAUACUGCUGAGCUUGAGUGCUGGAGAGGCUAUUAGAAUUCCUGGUGUAGUGGUGAAAUACGUAGAUAUCAGGAGGAAUACCGGAGGCGAAGGCGGAUAGCUGGCCAGACACUGACACUCAGACCCGAAAGCGUGGGGAUCAAACAGGAUUAGAAACCCUAGUAGUCC